This 30490-nucleotide long non-coding RNA is filed under the name Malus domestica (apple). RNAcentral describes it as "long non-coding RNA (MDOM_LNC010023)". Lineage: Eukaryota; Viridiplantae; Streptophyta; Magnoliopsida; Rosales; Rosaceae. The record is from RNAcentral.
AUUUUAUAAUUCCUAUGCAAAAGAGUUCAUUCAUUGCCUAUUUCACAACAAUACAAGGUUCUACAGAGUUCAAUCCCACACCAUGUUAUAGAAAUGCUUCAACUAUCAACCAGGACGGUAAUCGUUAGGGGCUUCAACAACUUCACAGAUACAACAAUUACGAUAAGUCUCAUCUCCGACAUUCAUACAGAAAAUCGAAUAAAAUUCGAAAUCAAGAAUCAAUCCCAAAACUGAAAGUUGAAAAUUUGGAAAAAGAACUUACAUUGGAGAACAGCCCACGAGAAGAGGAUCAUUUCUACCUCUUGGGUCGAGGUCCAAUUCCUGCGAUAUUGGCCGGAAGUUGGCCGGAAAACCCUGGGUCACCGUUUCUUAAAUUAGAAAUUGAGGAAAAUCGCCUACGAAUUUAUAGAAACUAACAGGGAUUGGAUAAAGGACGGCAAGAGCAUUCUGGAUGUGUAGUUUGACAGGCGUUAGUGACCUGUGAACGACGGAGACGUUGUGUCGGCAGUCGUCGGCUCGCUAGGAGAAGAGGGAGAGAGGAUGCAGGAGGGAGGAGAGACAAAAAGAAAAGGAAAAGAAACAAAGAAAUUUAAAAUAGAAAUGAAAAAGAAAGGUAACCGGACUGCAAAGGUAAUCAGCAUACAAAAUUAUCAUACUAUCCUUAAACUUUGUAGCUAUGUGAAAUCUUCAUUUUAAUUCUAAAUUUUCUUAUGCUUGCGCUCACAGGUUCUUAUUAGAGCAGUUCCACCGGAGGUGGAAUAGCCCAGUACCCAGUCAAAAAAUCAGGUUAGCACCCUGUUAAUUCACUCCAGCCCGUGAAAUCGACUAGCACCCAGCCUAAGCCAGUCUACGGGCCGGCCUAAAAUCGACAGACCUUGGGACCGACCUAUCUGACGUCAGCGUGGCGUCGGAGGGCAUAUGACGUCAGAGAAGGAGUUGUUGUGGAGGCUGAGGAGCAGAGCUGGUUGAGGCGGGAGAGGAUGUCGAGAGGGAAGGAACCAUGGAGGGAGAACGACGGAAGGACAAAGCGACAGCGUCGGAGGUGUGGAGAUGCAGGAGGACGAAUCGACGGUGUUGAAGGACAGGAGGUGUGGAGACGCUGUAGAGGAGCUAGUUGUUGAGAUGUGGAGAUGCAGGAGGUGAGGAGAUGCAGGAGAUGUAGGAAGUGCAGGGGUGGAUGGCGUGCAGAAAUGGAAGGGAAAGGAGGUGUGGAAGAUGAGAAAAUAAUAAUAAUUUUUUUUUAUAAAGUUAGAAAUUAAAAAUAAAAAUAUUAUUUUUUAUUAUUUUAUAAUAAAAAAUAAUAAUUUUUUAAUAAAAUUGACUAGGCUAUUUUUUUUAGGGAUAGAGAUGCAUUGGCCUAUUGCUGUUCAUUAUGGUUUAUCACUGUUCACUUGAGUGGAUAAAUGCACUGGAUGCUGGCGUAAAGUCUUUAGGGGUGGACUUGCUCUUAUGCGCACUACGAAAAGAUAUUAUGUGAGUUUUCGUUGAGAAUUUUUUUGAUGGAGGCAUCCAUGAUUUGCAAGGCCCACCAUGGCAAAGCUAGGUAUCGGCCUGACAUGUGAAGACACCAUCGCGGAGAAGAAUCUGGAAAGUUCAAUCCUUGUAUUUUUCUUAUAUAAUGGUGUCGUUUUAGUGAACUGAAUGUUUCGAUUCCAACAUCUAAAAUACUACAAUUGGAAUUUUUACAUACUACAAUUGGAUUGUAUCUUAAAAUUCUGAAGUUUUGGAUUGAAUUACCACUACCAAAAAUGUGAGCAUUGGUCACAAUCAUGCUGCUUUGUGUUGGAUUUCGUUAGAGAUCAUAAUUAAUCAAUCACCCAUAUUGUGUCUCCCUCCAAAAGCUCAAACUGAAACCUAAACUCCCUCGUCGACCAAAAAAAAAAAAACAAUCCUUGAACUCCCUAGCAAAUCAGAGCCCAAUUUGACAACCAAGAUCUUCAUCGUUCGAGCAUCAAUGUUCUCUUAAAUUUGCUGCGAGCAACCUACCAUGAAAUCUCCUUCAUGGACAUCUCAUAAAAUUAGAAUGGUACAAAGAAGAGUAGUGUCACUCCUAAGCUAGGAUUACACGUUUGAAUCGCAAAAUAGUUCCUCCUCCACUCUUUGAUUCUCUCUUUCACCGGCUAACAAUAUUUUACAUUACCAUCUUUUGCUCUAUUUGACUGAAGGACAAAUUUUGAUUGUCUAAAUAUUAUAUUAAACUACAAAUAAUAUUGAUAUUACUUUAGUCUAAAGAAGGCUUUUCAAUUGCAUUGUACCAAUGAAUAGUGUUUUGAACCACAUUUCAGUUUAUUUACAAGACUGCCACUGGGACGCUUUUAGCCAACUUUUGCUUUAUUUACAAAAAUGCCACUCAGGCUUAAGACUCGAUUUUCAGCCGCUGCAUCUCAGGUUUUUACUAGGGGAAAGAGAGGGGAGGGGGACAGAACGAGCAGAGAGAGAGAGCCUGCGGCUUGCAGAAUUACGAUGAUAGAAGAAGAAGCUCAAAAGUUUGAUACGCCAAGUCGAAGGAACCCUAAAAACCAGAGAAGAAGAAGAAGCUCAGAAAUCGGGUGAGGAUGUUGACAAAUCAGCAAGCCCAGUUUUAGGCGACUCUGCAAAACCAACAACCUAACCUCCGACGAACGAUGUUAGAGGGGAUUCGUCAGAUUCGAGUCGAACCGAGGCCGUCGUCGACUAAGAGAACAUUAUCGAUCCCGACUUUUGGAUCGACUCCCUUUACCUGCUCCCUGUCUGUUACUCCUGCUCCGUCUCUCUUCUUGCAAGUUCGCUCGGGUUCUUCUCCCCAGUUAUUUCAAGCACAAAAAAUUCUCCAGUUUCAUUCGUCAGCUCAUACAUACGUAAGCUCUUCGCCUCUUAAUAUUUUGAUUUAGGUUAAUUGUUAAAUUCUUGAAAAAAAUUGAAAGCAUUGUUCAUUUUUGUCCCAAAUUGGUUUGGUUCUGGUUUGGAAACAGAAAUUAAAACAUAUACUCCUUCAUCUACGAUUCACUUAUUCCAUUCCAGAUAUUUCUCCAUUUCUCUCUUAAUUUCUUACUUUUUGAUUCAAGCGUUUAAUUUUUUAUUAAUUAAAUUACAAAUAAGUAUUAUUGACUUUCAUUUGGUACCAAUCAAUCAAGUGAGAGAUGAGUUGUUUGAAUGUUUGAUUUUACUUGAAUCAGAGUCUCCAAGGAGGAGAAAGAGAAGGAUCCGAAUGAUUUAGGGUUUAGGUCUUAGCGUGUGAGCAGGCGUAUUGAUGACUGUAAUCAAGGUAUCACUUAAGCUCUAAUUGUGACUAGUAAAUUUUGAAUGACUGCUGGUUACUGUUAAAACCCCAAAUGUAUGCAAUCCCACGUUCCAAUUUGUUGUGUGAAGAUGCGGACCACAAUUGCUUCCUCUCAGCACAAUUAGUUUCCACGAUUACUCUUAAACCCUAAUUGUCUCUCCUCUAUCUAAAAUCCAUUUUUCGAUUUUUGAAUACGGUAAAUGGAUAUUGUUUCUAUGUGCAGGUGUUACUCGGAGAAGUUUGAAAGGCCCUGGGACAAUGAGGAUUGCAUUUCAGAGUAGCAGAAAUACAAGGCCACCCUCUCUUUGUGUAUCCAAUCUUACCCUUCUCCUAAAUUUUUAUCAAACUAUAGGAUUUAUUUUGCUGAUUUUAUUUUUUGCGAUUUGAGUUUUUAUCUCCUGCUUAUUUUUUAUUUUUUUGCCGAGGUAUUACUUUUCCUUUGACUAGAAAUUUUAGUGUUUUUAAAGUAUAAUGUUAUCAAAUUCUAAUUUUCUAAUUUUCUGAUUUUGGCCUUUUGCAGGGAGUGCUAAGAUACUAAAUUUUUGGGAUUUUUUAUCUUUGCAUGAUUUUUGGUCUUUGAAAUGGGUAUGUGCUGUUUUUAACGUUUUGGUUCUCAAAUGUUUCGUUCUUGAUUUCUGUUUUCUGCCUCCUUCUAGGUUGCUUCGUGAUUUUCAUUUUCCAUUGUUGGCUUAUGGAAUUUAUAAAAAUGGUUGUAGUUUUGUGACCAAAUCCCAAUAAGAGUAUGCCGAAACACAGAUUAGCAUGUAGUGAACAUACGUUGAAUUAGAACAAAAUUUAAUAUAUAAGUGAAGGCAUGUGCAGUGAACAGACAUUGAAUUUAAAAUUGAUAGGGUAGUUAAGCUUCUGCCUUAGUUAUUCUUUGUCACUCACUUUUGGAAUUUAAUUCAUUCAUUUCAAAGUCACUCAUGUACUCUGUCUUACUUUAUUCACUCAUGUUUAGUAUGCACCAUUGAAUUUUUUUGUCAUAUAUUAUUCACUCAUCUACUACACUAAUGUUGAGAUUUGGGUAUCAUUUGUUUUCUCAUAUGUCAUGUUUUUAAGCCAAAUCUAAUAUAUAAAUGGAUCCAAAAACUCCUGAUGUAGCACAUUUAAUUUGUUCAAAUAUUGAUUCUUUUCCCUCUAUUCACUUCAGUUGUCGUGUUCUUCUUCGUUCUUUUUUCAACGGCAAAGCUGGACGAUCCAUGGAGCACAUGUUGUUGAGCCUUUUGCCACUACUGGUCUGGUCCAAUUCGAAGGAGUUGUUGGAGUACAAUCUUUAGGCCCUUUGGAGGAGCUGAAAAACCAGUCUCGACUCUGCUGACCUAGACAUAUUCCGAGAUAUGCUCCAGCUCCAUAACGAAUCGGACAUCAGCCCGGUUCACUACUCUCACUCUUUCCUGCUUUCAUUCUCAAUUUUUUUUUGGAAUUUUGCGCUGAAUUUCAUUUGGGUAAUUUGUGAAGUUUUGUUUUUUUUUCUUCUUUUGUUAGGCAGCUUUUGGUGUGCCUGCGAAUGUUGAUUCGGCGAUGCGUUUACAAUAACGUCAAGAGGGAAAAGAUUCAAAAGAUGUUCCCAGUGUAGCUAUUUUAUAAUUGAUGAGGCUGUUGGUGCUUUUGAUGCGGAAGUUUCAGCGAGAAUGACGGCGAGAUGCACACAAGGAUCAGGUUAGAGAUCUGUGUUGUUUGACAUUUCUGUGUAAACAUUUUUGAGUAUCAAAUAUAUCUCAAAUUUAGGGUGUCGGUUAUGGGCUACUAAAGCGGAAAGUUCUUUUGGCUCAUACAUUAAAGCGGCAUGUGCUUUUGGCUCAUACAUUUAAUUUGUUCAAAUAUUGAUUCUUUUCCCUCUAUUCACUUCAGUUGUCGUGUUCUUCUUCGUUCUUUUUUCAACGGCAAAGCUGGACGAUCCAUGGAGCACAUGUUGUUGAGCCUUUUGCCACUACUGGUCUGGUCCAAUUCGAAGGAGUUGUUGGAGUACAAUCUUUAGGCCCUUUGGAGGAGCUGAAAAACCAGUCUCGACUCUGCUGACCUAGACAUAUUCCGAGAUAUGCUCCAGCUCCAUAACGAAUCGGACAUCAGCCCGGUUCACUACUCUCACUCUUUCCUGCUUUCAUUCUCAAUUUUUUUUUGGAAUUUUGCGCUGAAUUUCAUUUGGGUAAUUUGUGAAGUUUUGUUUUUUUUUUCUUCUUUUGUUAGGCAGCUUUUGGUGUGCCUGCGAAUGUUGAUUCGGCGAUGCGUUUACAAUAACGUCAAGAGGGAAAAGAUUCAAAAGAUGUUCCCAGUGUAGCUAUUUUAUAAUUGAUGAGGCUGUUGGUGCUUUUGAUGCGGAAGUUUCAGCGAGAAUGACGGCGAGAUGCACACAAGGAUCAGGUUAGAGAUCUGUGUUGUUUGACAUUUCUGUGUAAACAUUUUUGAGUAUCAAAUAUAUCUCAAAUUUAGGGUGUCGGUUAUGGGCUACUAAAGCGGAAAGUUCUUUUGGCUCAUACAUUAAAGCGGCAUGUGCUUUUGGCUCAUUUCUUUACAAAAGUUGAAUAUUUGAAUCUGCUUAUUUAUGUUUUGAAAUGAGUGUGUUUGUUAUUCAUGUUUUGGGAAUGUUAAAUCUUUUUAAUUUUUUCGUUCCAGGACGAAAAUAUUUAACGAAAUGAAUUCUGACUAUAAAGUUAAUUGAAGCUCUGAAAAAUUUUGUGGUCGAAAAGGAUGACAGAUUACUAUAGUUUUUUUUCCUUCCUAUCCAAAAACUACCUUUGAUUUUCUUGAUUGUGCGUAUAUUUAAUAUUUGCUAUUAUAAUCGUUCCCAGUAUAAUAGCAGAACCUACUAGACGAGCAGGACCAAGUACCCGACCCUCUACAACAAAAUCAGCCUGCUCAGAAACCCUAGCUUGAAUGCGGUUCCAGAGCUCGACGACUGGGUCUACAAUGGCAACAAAGUCCGAGUCACCGAGCUUCAGCGCAUCAUUCACGACCUCCGAAAGUGGAAACGCUUCUCCCAAGCCCUCCAGGUUUCCAUCUUUCUUUCUUACCUUGCAAUUUGUGUUAUCCCCUGUUUGGUUGCUCAGAAAAUGAAAGAAAAUUGAAAGAAGAAUCAAAGUAAUUAAAUUUUAGUUAAAGAAAGUGAGUGAAUGAGGGAAUUAGGAUUUUUGUUAGUUUAUGUGUUUGUUUGUAUCAUAAGUAAUCGGAAUUUCCUCUGCUUUCAUAAUAAUGUGUUUUAGGUUGCAGAUUUCAGAAUGGAUGAAUCAGAAGGGGAUAUGCAUAUUUUCGCCGGUUGAGCAUGUCGUGCAACUGGAUUUGAUUGGGAAGGUAGAAUUUUGCACGAAUUGCUGUCAAAUAAAGCCAGUUUGAGCCUAUGGGUCGAAUCCUAUUGGACAUUGUUGCAUCAUGGAGCAUGUGAUUGUUGGGAAGUUUAAGCUGGGGAGGAAGAUUGGGAGUGGGUCUUUCAAAGAACUCUAUUUAGGUAUGGUAAUCAGUGCUUGAUAUCCUUUUUUCCUUAGAAAAUUAUUCAUUGUGUUAAUUUAAUGUGUUUUGUAAUGAAAUUGCUCUUCUGGUGUUAGGUGUAAAUGUACAUGGUGGGGAGGAGGUUGCUGUUAAGCUGGUAUGUGAUCGAUCGUCAAAUCUUAUAUUUAGUUCUGAUGUUUGGUUUAUGGCUAAAUGUUUGCAAGCAUUGUAUAGUUUUGUGCCUGAUUGUAAAUGGGCGGCUUCAUUAAUGUACUAGGGUAUGUUGAGUGUGAGCUUCUGGUAAUUCAUUAUGAUUUCAUGUGUGCUUCCAUAUAUAUUGAAAUUGUCCAGUUUGCUCAUGGAUGUUUCUGUAUGAUUUUGCAUGUCUCCCUUGAUAAAAGCUUGAGCAAAAUAUGCUUAUGAAAUCGAUAUGUGGUUUAGCUUUAUAAUUGUGCCUGCAUCUGUACUGCUUAUUUGCUACCCAUCUAAACAUAUAACUUUAUAUGAGAUAGCCCCCCAUUUGAAAAUGAGUGUUUUUAUGCGAUGUUUAUAUUUGUAGGCACUGGAAUUAGUGUCUUUUGUUUUUAUUUUGAUCUCAGUUACUCAAAACUGAAUUUUUUGUUGGUGUGAAUAUAUAUGUCAACAUUUAAUAUCAGCAUUUGGAGUGAAUCAAAUUCAUUUUAAAUUUUCUUAAAUUUAUUGAUUAUCAGAUGACAUAGUUAACAACUUCUGUGAUUUUAAAACACUUGGAGGUGAGAUUUACAUAAUUAAAUAGUCAAUUGAAAAAUUGAAAUGAGAUGUUAGUUUUACCUGACUGAUUUCUUUGUUGGGUUUAUUACUGCUCAAUGUUAAAACCCAAAAAUGGUUUUUUGGGCAAGUGGUGAUUGGCCCGCCUGUGUCAGGAAAGACCACUUACUGCAAUGGCAUGUCUGAGUAUAUCUAGCUCAUCCGAAGGUAAAAAAUUUCACUCUGAAUUCUGGGUUUUCAAGUUUUUCCAUGGCUUCAAUUUUGGUUUUUGAAUACAUCUGAAAUAUUUACAGUGGCAAUUUGUUGUUUUGGUGUGCAGGAAAGUUUUUGUGGUAAAUUUGGAUCAUGCAGCCGAUGCAUUGCCGUAUCCUUUUCGGGGUUUUAUUUUUUUCAUGUUUAUUGUUCGUAAUUUGUAGUGUUGCACUGCAUUCCAAUGUCGAAUAUUGAGGGUAAUAAAGUAGAGCUACUGGUUCAUCUUUCAUUUGAUCUUCUACUAAUUUCGAUUGAAUUCCACAAAUUUUUUUUAUUUGCUUAGUUUAAUUUGUUGUUGUUCAAUUGUUAUGAAGAUCUGUGAAUGUGUAUGAAUUAUUGGUUCUGAUUUUUGUUGAACAAUGUGAAGUUGCUUGGUGUUUUAAGUUCUUGAUCCAAAGAAAGUUGCGUUAUUUCGUAAUGACAUUGCCGUUUGUAGUGGUUGUUUGGAUUACUGUGUCAUUUUAUUUAUGCAACACUUAUAUGAUACCUUUCUUAUUGGCUGUAUGUAAAUCAUCAAUAUCUUAUGGAUUAAUAUGCUUACCAUUUCGUAUACAUAUGUUUUUUAUUCAUGUUAAAACUUUUUGUAUUAUUUUUGUGUUUGUCAUUGGCAGGUGAAUUUGUAAACAUUCAUAGUUAUCCAUAGGACCUUGAGGGAGUAUGCAAUUAGUAUUCAUAUAGAUGGUUAUUUGUGUUAACGAUGAAAGCAUAUGGUUUAGGUUUGUCCUCAAAAUUUAUGCUUAGUUGUAAUAAUGCUUUUGCUUAGUUGUUCAUGUAAAAAUGGAACAAUUUUUUUUUGUACAUAUGUCAUUUUAUAUUCGUUUAAUGUUUGAACUUAUGCUUAUGAACUUGGUUAUUGGUAGGGCUCUUCUAGAGGCAGUGUUGGCGUGUAGAUGAUGUGGAAGUAGGCGAUGAGGAGGAAAUGACAAAGGUGGAGGACCAAAAGGUCUUAUAGAAGAAGAAGAAGCUCAGAAGUCUGAUACACCAAACAACUCCAUCUGAAAGAGGAAGAAUCCAAGGGUAAACCCCUUCAAACUCUUCGAUUAUGGUGUUCUUUAGUCGAUUGCAAGACUAGAACUUGAAAAACUAACACAUGCAUAUAAUUUUUUUAUGAAGGAACUGCAGUCCAGUGGUUGUAUAAAACAAAAGGACAACGCAUGCUCUCUCUCUCAUAGUAGCUCUGUGUUCCUCUCCCCCCAAACCUAAUGGCUUCAUCCCAAUUCGGAGCCUGCUCGAAUCGGGACUUCUUGGAGAUUCGGAUCUCCAGGUGAGAUAAUUUUCCCCAAAUUGUAUUCAAUCUAUGUUGCUUCAUUUCAUUUUCCAUUUUAAUUUGGAAUUGUUGAUAUUUUAGGCGGGUAUUGCAUGUAUAACCACAACAAUUUUUGUGUUGGAUUGGGGUCAAAUUGUCCAGCUUUAUUAGCUAUUUGGUCGCCUUUGUAUUUGUAAUCUGAAUAAUAUGAAUUAGGGUUUUUCUGUUAGUGUCCAAUUGGUCAAGAAAGGAUGCUUCUUUUUUGUUAUCAUGCAUAUUUAAGCUGUAAACAUCUGAAAAACUGCUUAAUUGAAGUGAUAUUUCCAGUUUUUUAGCUCAGUUUCAGGUUUUGACCUUUGAAUUUGUUUACAUGUAUCCCAGCUGAAGCUAUGUACAUCGUAGUUUAAGGGGAUUUUGCUCAAAAUCUGGAGAGCUCUCUCGCUUUGCUCUCUAUGUAAACCCGAGAGAAAUUCCAUGGAAACAUCACGCCUGCAAACGAAGUUGCAGGCCUACACACAAGCAAACUCCAUCUGAAAGCCAAAGAAUCCAAAGGUAAAUCUCUUCAGCUUUCUUAGCUAUUUGGUCCUGUGUAUUUGUAAUCCGAAUAAUAUGAAUUAGGGUUUUUCUGUUAGUGUCCAAUUAGUGAAGAAAUGAUGCUUCUUUUUGUUAUCAUGCAUAUUUAAGCUGUAAACAUCUGAAAAAGCUGCUUAAUUGAAGUGAGAUUUCCAGUUUUUGAGCUCAAUUUCAUUUCUUAUAGACAAUUUUUUUUCAAGAUUUCUGGGUUUCUUUUUGCUGCUUCUUUGUUAAAUUACUCAUCUGGAAGUUAAAUUUUGUUCAAAUACCAAGUAUUGUUCUUCAAUUAAAGAUUUAUGGGUUUUUUUAUUGCUUCUUUUCUGUUAAAUUACUCAUCUAGAAGUUAAUUUUGUUCAAAAACUUACUGUUCUUCAAUUAAUCUUACAAGAAAGCAUAUGAGAAUGUGGCACAUUAGGUGUUCGAUGAAAUGUGUCUGAGAAUCUGUCAGUAUGAUAUAUUAUAAUUCUGAAUCUCCUCUUCAGCUCUGGCCACAGGUGCGCGAAGGCGACAUGAUCCUGGUCGACAGUUCGGAGCUCUGGCGAUUCUGACUAAGAAAGAGGUCAAUAACAACAAGGUAAUGGAAUUCAAUGUUUUGUGUUUGUUAUAGAGGCAUAUUUGCAACAGUAUAUCAGAUAAUAAUUCUAGAUAGUAUGUCCAGAUGGCAUAGAUUGUGUUUCAUGAUGCAUAUGGCUGAAGCGGUUUUGGCUACUUUUUUUAUUGCUCAUUAAAUUUUUUGCUGCCUUUGGCUGGUACAAAUAUAUAUAAGAAGUACUAUCCUUUUAUCAACUUUUACCAAGUCAAAUUUAGGAUCCAUUUGUACUCAUGCGCCAUUGGGGUAAAGUGCAUGUGCUUUUUUUUUCUGUUGUAUAUUUUCAUCUAGGGGAUAACGUUUUGUUGUUUGUUGGAAGGAAUAUUAAAACACAUCCACACCCUAUUUUGUCAUUGUUCUAAAGUAUCUCAUGCUGGUUUUAGAAUUCUCCCGACUUUCUAACUCAAAUAUGUGCCAAGAGAACCCAACUAAAGUGGUUCGCCGCUCCAUGUAUGAAGUAUUAGUGAAUUAUUUGUAAUUUUACAUAACCAAAAGAAAAUUUUUGCGUUGUAUGCAUACAUAUUGAAAUUUAUGUUAUAAAUUUUUUGAAAAGAAACAGAUGUAAAUUAGAAUCAUACUAAUAUAGGUAUGCUGUAUACAUAACUUUGAUAAUACCAUAAGUUCAGAAUUAAUCUUUAGUGUCAUUAAAAAAUUUAUGUAAAUUUAUAUACAUAAAUUUGAUAGCACCAUAAACUUGGGGUAUUGUUAUAUUUAGUACAGGCAAUAUGAUGCCGUUCAGGUGUUUUUAACUAAUAUCUGCAGUUUUUCAAUUCAUCUGGGGUAUUUGUGAUUUGAACGACACUAAAAAAUUUUAUGGGUUAUAGGAACUGCAGGUUAAAAAAAUGGGUCAAAUUCAGAGCUGCAUUCGUCUUCCCUCAAAAUAAGAAGAAAAUGCUUCCUCAACUACAUAUUUUGCAACCUCAGGUAUAUUUGUGUUCUAAAGGCUUUUACUUCCUCCGGUUUCUUCAGAGCUAUUAUUUUACCCAUAUAUGAUUUGUAAAGUGGAAGAUUGGAUUUCAUAUGUCUGAGUAUUUAGGGUUUUGCACAAUGCAAACUUGAGCUUUUGAUCCAAAUGGCUAGAACAGUGUACUCGACCAAUUUCAUAUCCUCUUGGGCUAAUGAGAGUAUAUUACUUGCCACUGGGGAAUUCACUUCAUAUAAGCCAUAGAGAGAGAGAGAGAGAGAGAGAGUCACAUUUUUGUUUUUUUUUUUUUGGAUUUGGUAACUGAAAUUUUAUAUGUGUGAACUACAUGUUUCUUCUGUUUCUUAAGGAAACAGAAAUUUUUUGGAAACCAUCUCUUUCUAAUCAAAGACAUUGUGCAAUGUGUUUAUAUGCCAACUCACUUGAAUGUAUAUAAAAGCAAAACAGCUUCACUUAUUGACCUCAAUUCACUCAUGUAUCCCUCUGUUUGUUCACGAUUGUGUUGAAUUUAUUCAAUUUAAAUAUAUUUUAUUCAUUUGAUUAUACCUGAAACAACAGGUUCCCGCAACAACGUGCGGGCAUAUUUUCUCGUUAUAUAUAUUACAAUGUGACUGGAAUUGUAGUACCCAACAUUUUGUUGUCCAUGAAGUGGCCAACUCGCCCUCUCUGAUAUUCUUUAGUCCGGUCCAUUUUGAGUUUAACCAAACUCAUUCUUUUAUAAGCAAUGUAUUGUGGGCAUCGUUGGAGCACGAGACAUUAUUUUAUAAUUCCUCUUUGGUUGAGCUAUUAAUGUCAUUGUUUAACAAUUUAGUGAUAUUUAUCUUUACUUGUAGAUGAGAGGUUUCAGGUUCGAAUCUCGGGAGUGAUGAUUUGUUGUAAAUAUACCAUAAAAGAAGAAGAAAAAAAAAAGCAAAUCAUCAUUUACCACAGUAGUAGAAAGGUGUUGAGCCCUUGUAUAUGAUGGCGUGAGUUUGAACGUAGUUGGUAACUAAUCUAACAUGUAAUCUAACAAAAUUUAUCAUUUGAUAAAAAAAAAUAUAAUACAAAAACACGAAAAUGCCCUUAAAGUCCAAAGUGCCCCCCUCUGCCCUGCCGCUUCCUGCAAGUUCUUUCCUCGCCCCUAUUUCCCUCACUUUCUCCCUAUCAGACGUUCGAAGACUCAAAACUGUUUUUAACUCUCUCCCUCUCUCUCACUCUCUCCUUCUCACUCUUAAAUGUCGCCCUUUCUCACUCAUACGCACGCUCAAUGAUCUCUGAAGCACCAAUUGCUCUUCGCUUUGGCUCUCUGCAUCUCACCAGAGGUAAAAUGCCCCAAAUUUAUUUAUUUAUUUUUUUACUUUUUCCUCUAAAUUUAAUUCAAUGAAUUUUUUGUGUACCCUUGCAGUAAUACAGGAAGAUUUUUGUAGUAUUUCUACUUGCUGGAUGAUACUGAAAUAAUUAUUGGGAGUUUGAAGAAUUUCUGGUUUGUAUGAUAUAUUUGCUAAAAGACCCAAAAUUUUGAAGCAGAGCGGCGGUAUUUGAUAAGAAAAUCAUCUGAUGAGUCAAUGGAGUCGUCAUCGCCUCCAAAGGAGAACGAAAAAAGCUCGAAACAAGCUUGCGUAGAAAUCAACUUGGAAGAUCUUGCUGUUGAUCCCGGGCUGCGCACUCGAAUUUGGGAUUAGCAUCCCAGUUCAAGUUCGAGAGUAAGUUCGAAGAGCAUAUAUACAAAAGGGUCCUUUUCAGAGUCGAGACCAUGACUUCCCCAGCAAGAAUACUAGUGAGGGACCGAGAAAGUUUAUAUCUGCUUGGUUUAUGAUUUUCCGACUUGGUUGGUAUUGUCUAUGUUGUUAUCUGUUUAAGCUAAAUACAGGAGAGCAAGCCGGCGGUGAUUGCUUGGUUAGUAAAGGGUUUUCGAAUUGGAAGAAGGAAAGGUUGCAGGGUCAUGUUGGAGGACGGAAUAGCGGCCUCAACCAAGCUUGGAGAACCUGUGAUGCUUUAUUAAAGCAACACCAAGCAUGAAUAUGAAGGUUCAAACAACGAAGGAGUUUUUCUUGGACUCUGGAACUUCCACUGUGGUCGUCAUGAGGAGUUAAAAGUUAUCACAUUGAGAAAUUCUCCCUUAAGUCUGAAGUUGACUUCACCUGAUACUCAGAAGGACAUCAUAACUACUUUUUCAGUGAAAUUAUCAAUGCAAUCGUUAAAGAUAUUGGUAGUUCGUACUUUUCCAUUCUUAUCGAUGAGCUUCAUGACAUGUCUUCAAUGAAGCAAUUGGCUAUUGUAAUACGUUUUGUGGAUAAAGGUCAACUGAUCGAGCCUUUUUUUUAUGUGUUGUACAAGCCACUGAUAAUACUGCUGACUCACUUAAGGUGGCUAUUGAUGAUUUCUUUUCUACCCAUGGAUUAAGCAUGUCAAAGCUAGGGGCAAGGUUAUGGUGGGACUAGUAAUAUGAUUGGUGAGUUGAAUAGUAUUAAGACACUUAUAAUGAAGGAGAAUGAGUGCAUUUUACGUUCGUUACUUUGCUCACGGCAGCGAGAGACACGAAAUGCCCACGCCCUCACGAAAGUACUGUCGGCGUUCUCCAACAAGGACGUAGUCGUCUUGCUUGAGGACGAGCGAGUGCUCCAGAUAACUGUUCGCCAUCCGAACCACCCACAAGAAAGGCUGCUUGCUGUUGGCCAGACCCCAUGCCAUUGCAGCUAGUUUUUUACUGUCCAUGAAUGCUGUGCUUCCUAGGCUUACAUAGAUGACAGAGUUGUGUGCUUGUUUAACGAGCCAUGACGUACAACUCUGGUCCUCUUUCAACAAGCUUGUAGACGGGGAUGGAACAGUUUUGUGCAGAGGACCGGUAGGAAAUAACGGAAUUUGGUACUCUUUUUGAAGCCGUGCCAGCGAUGAUUGUUCAAGGCCGUCCCGGUGUUCCAAAUGACGGCUGAAGAUGACCUUUGAAUCGUGUGCUUUCACUAGUAGUUGCAGUAAGCCGUCCAAAACUCUGCCAUCUUAAUGGUUGGAGUCCUGGUGCCAGUUCCAGCAUUAUAGAAUCUGUACACAGAAUGGUCAAGCAUCAGAGAUCUUAAGGUUAGUGCAGACAGUUGCAAAAGUUAUAAAAAUCAUAGAGUCAUCGAGUCUUUUUCCCUUAAAAAGGUUAAAAUCAAUCAAUUAAUUGAUCAAUUUGAUGCAUUUACAUCUCAUAGUUAUUGUGUCAAGACGGAAUUCGAAAAAUUUGAGAUGUCUGAUUGUUACCUUGAAUUGAAAAGUAACCAUCUUAUAGGAAUUACUUGGUAAGUCAUCGUGUUUGCUGCACUGCUAGUAGUCAAUAUAAUGCUAGGCAACCCUAGAUGAUUAGCCACCUCUACUGUACUCAUCAUAGAUGAUGCAUGAAAUCUUGGAGUGGGGACUUGCAGUUAGACAUUAAAGCCUAAUAUUGCAGCAAUAAAAUUGUGGGACGAGAUAUUUUUCUCUCAUAAGCCAUCGGAUAUCUCUAAGAAAUCGAAAUCAGGGUAGUUCGAAGGAAAGUUGAAGUUGGUGUGAGGGACUGUGAUGUAGAAGCCCUCGGAGUGAAAGAUAGCGCCCAGUUGAAGUAUUGGAGUUAUGUUCCCUUGGAAUGGGCAUGGAGCCAGCACUAAUCUGUGGCUUGUACGUUGUGUUUCCAUUGCCCUUAAGAUUUGUGUAGCUAAAAGGAGUACUUCACAUGGUGGACAUUAUGAAGGCUUAUGAUAUUCUGGAUUGGGAAUUUCUUUUAGACACUCUUUCAGAUUUCCAACUUCUAUGAUUAAUUGAAUUUGUUGUUGUGUGAAUAGUACUAAGUUUUUAGUUUCAGUUAACGGCAAGCUAGCGAGUUUUUUCUCCUAGUAAAAGGGGGCAAAGGCAAGGGGACGCUCUAGUUGCUACAACAUCCUAGUUUGCAAAUCGUUUGAAACAGAAAUCAAAACCGUUUGAAACCAAAUUGAACCGCAAUCAAAUGGUUUGGUUUUAUCUUGAUUGGUUUAAGCUUCAAAUUCACACCGAACCGAACUGGCAAAAAAUUCAGUUUCACUUUAAAACCGCACAGAACCAAACCGUGUCCAUCCCUGGUCUGCAUUGGAGGAAAACUGGGGAAAACCUCCCGGUAACCUCAACUCUGAUGGAGAAAAUGUAUUGGAGAUUGAAGAUUGUGAAUUUUUGUUUUUGUUGUUCUCCAUAAGAUUUCCAUUCAAAAUUUCUAUACGAUUUUUUGCCUUCUCUUGUAAUUUCACUAUGAUUACAUACCAUAAUUGAAUAGUACAAAUUAGUCCCGCCUGUUGCCUUGUGGGCUUCAAGUCCUUGGUGACCCUCCGACAGCCAAGGAAACGACAACCCACUUCUGAGAUCGGAAGCUAGCGUAUGGAGACGGCGUGUCGGAGAUUGUCUUGACGGUGGAUUCGAGCUGUGGCAUCUGAAUCUUCUUGAAACCGGUACCUGGCUGACUUGCAGAGCCACCAUCGCAAAGAAGAAGAAUCCGAAAAGCCCAAACCUUAUCUUUUUCUCCUAUAACGAUGUCGUUUUAGUGAAUUGCUUUUACGUUCUCAAACGUCCAUGUCAAAAUUCAAUUAAACCCAACAAUAUUCAUCACAAUUUACAUCAUUUCAUGGUAGAAACGUUGCAAUUAAAAUUGUGCAUAUUAUUGUAUAAAAAUAUCUCGAAAAAAAUUUAUUCUUUUGUUUUUGGUCAAAGAACUAAUUUCAUUAAAGAUAAAACAAAUUAAAGUAUCGUUUGCUAAAAACACACUAAAGUAAAAGUGCAGUCUUUUACAAAAGUAAAGUAAGGAAACAAGCCCCAAAAGUAAGGUAAAAUUUAUUCAUUUUGAUGUCGUUUAGUCAUGCAAAUUAAAUGAAUAUUUUUAAAAUAGUGGUGUUAUCAACACUUUUUUUUUUAGAAAAAUUAAUGAAAAAUGUUUGAAAACUUGAGUUUUUACGAAAAUGACAAAAUAAAGGGUAAAGUAAAUAGUACCAGAAUUGACUUUUUAGUGUAAAAAUAUAAUUUUUCGUUAAAGUGAAUAGUAUCAUGAGUUUUUGUUAAAGUUUUUUUUUUUUUACUUUAACACAUCUUUACUAAUUUCUAUCCUUUAAAAUAAUGUUUUUUUUUUGGGGGAAAACUUAAAAUAGUGUUUUUUAGCCAAAUUAGAACUGCAUAAGUAAACCUAAUACAUCAAAUUAACAAUGCAAUUGCUAUAACUUUACUUUUUGCAUAUCUCAAAACAUUCAACGCACACAUUAAAAUCCCACGUGACUCACUCAUAAGGCGAGGUUGAGAAGACUCGCUAGACACGUAGCUUGCCACUUCAAGAGUAAUUGCAAUGUUUGAGUCCCACUAAAAUAAAAUAAACAAUAAAACUCGAAAUUAAAAUUAAAUUUCUCCCUAUUCCAACCUUCUCUCUCCGAUAAAAUGCAAAUGCCUUUAACUUAUCAUUCUAAUUGCACAAUGUAAAAGAUAAUAUCGAAUGUAAAGAUUUACAUUUUUUUACAGUGCGAUAUUAUACACUAGUUUAAUUAUAUAGAGCAUCCAAUUCGACAUUACAUGUGAUAUUAAGUCUGAUUCUACAGAAGAAAAAUCUCACAGCGGGACAAAUUUUUAAAAGCCACAGAUACUUUAAAUAAACAAUGAAGUCUUUAUGUAUUGUGUGAUGUAUUAGUGGUGGUUUUUAUCAUUCAAGCAAUAAUGAUCCACUAGCCUCCAUGCGCGCUCAUGCACGUGCAUAAAGUAUCACGGUAUGCUAUAUGAGAUUUACACGUUUUAAAUGUAUUUAUAUGCGUAAAUUGAUAAAAAGAAAGUCAAAUAUUUGAGAUAAAUGAAUAAUUUUAAAUCAUGCUAGAAGAAACCCCUCAUAAACCAAUUAAAGCUGAAUCUACAUAAUAUUUAAUAAAUAACUUAUUGAAUCACAUUAUUGCUAGCUCAUUGUGAGGCUAAGCACACCCUCUCCCUUUCAUUUAGAUAAUCUUGUUUGUUUAAAAAAAUCAUUUUACAACUAAUUUGAUCACAUUAUUAUUCACGUGUGAAAGACUUUUUUUAUAACUGGCAUUACACGCCUCUUUAGAUGUUUUGAACGUGUUUAAAAAUAUAGAAAAGAAUAUUGAAUGAACAACUGAUUGAAUCACAUUAUUGCUAGCCUAUUGUGAGGUACUUAUUAAAAAAAACAGUACAAAAAAUUAAUUAUUAAAAAAACACUACUAAAAUGAUGAAAAUACCAUGCCACAUUUGAUGUCUUAUUUUGGGUUGCUUUUGAAGUUUUUUGUUUGAGGGGCAUUUUUGUCCAAUUAUUUUUUGUUGAAGCUUGUGACACCAAAAAAACAGUAUUCACUUUAUUGUUGGCUUUUUAUGUAGAUACUUUUAAGUUUUAUACGUAGUAUACUCACGUGAGCUGGUUAGAUUAGUCAUAAAUGGGUGAUUAGCCACUAACAGAUUUGGACCUACGUCGUCAUGCAAUGCUUAACACCUUUCUACCAUUAUGAGAAAGUGGCUAAUCACACCGAUGAGUCAUUAGCCACCGACGGGUUCAGACUCACGACGUCAUGUAAGAGCUUAAUACCUUUUUGUUAUUAUGGUAAAGGACCACUACCACGCGAGCUGGUUGGAUAUAUACAGAAGGGUCCUUUCAGCCUUGAGACCAUGAAUUUCCCCAUUAGGCUUGGCGCCAGACAAAGGAAAAAUGGAAAGUAAAGAAGAGAGAAAAAUAAGAAAAGGAAAAGAAGGUGAUGGUGGAAUUGCCGGACAAAGAAAAAAUGGAAAGUAAAGAAGAGAGAAUAAAAAAGAAAAGGAAAAGAAGGUGAUGGUGGAAUUGCAGAAAGAAAUAAAGGAAAAGGAAAGAGGGAGUCCAUGUGAAGAAAAGGCAGAAGAAGAAAGAAAACAAAGAGAAAAAAAAAAAGAUGAAUGAGGAUCAUAGCCGUUAUUAGGAUUCUGGAAAUCCUUCAAUCACAUCUAUUCAAUUUAUAUUGUAUGGUCAGAACUUAUUGUAAAUUUUUUAUUUAAAAUUAAUAUAAAUAAUGUCUGACAAAAGCUAAUUGCAUAAUGUAUGAUAAACAAAUGUGAUUAGAGAAUUUAUAGAAUCCUUACAAAUAUGAUCCGACGGGGACCUCCUCUAAAAAAAGAUGGUGAAAGUUGAGACAGGAAAGAAAAAGAAAGAGGUAAAAGAAAGGGAAAAAAACAAUGGUGGUGUCUGGCAUGCAAAUACAGAAGUAGAAAAGUGAUGAGAUUGUGUAGAAAAAGUGGAAGAAAGAAAAAAAAAAGGAGUGGAAUGAAAGUGGGGAGUGUGGCUCUUUACCACAAUGAUGAAAAAGUUAUGCGUCUUUGUAUUUCUACGUGAAUUCAAAUCUAGUUGGCUCCUCCAAGGUUGUGUGUCCUUGCAUUUCGGCGUGAGUUUGAAACAUCAACCAAAUUAUGAAAUGAAUGAAAACAAGUAUGUAUUCCAUUAGAACCAACCUCUGGGUGAUCUUCCUUGUCAAAAUUCCAACACGCCAUUAACAGUCAUUAACUUAGUCAGCAUAUGUAAUGAAGAGCUGAAAAAGUGGUUGGGAUUCUUUACUAAAUCAGGUUUUUGUGACAAACAUAAGAUUGAAGUUCCUAACAUGAAUGACAUGUUUCAAACUGUAGGGAUAAAAUAACUUCGGCGGGGACAUAUAUGCAUCAUUAUCAUGUUGAGAUGUUUUGUAAUGUUAUUGAUAUGCAACUCCAAGAGCUAAAUAUUCAUUUCACUGAGACGAAUAUUGAGUUGCUUUUUUGUGCGACAUGUAUGAAUCCAAGCUAUAUUUAUUCUCUACUUUUGACAAACAAAAGUUGAUUCGUGGCUUGCUCAGUAUACUUGAAUGACUUUUCGGCACUUGACUUGAUGAUACUGUUUUUUUUUUAAGGGACUUUUUGGCACUUGAUGAUACUUGAAAAUCAGCUUAAGAUGCACAUUAUGGACAUGAGCUCUAACAUUGAGUUUUCAGGAUUGAAUGGGAUUGCGGAUCUUGCACAAAAAAUGGUUGAGACAAAAUAAGAAACUGUUUACCCAUUAGUUUACUUGUUGUUGACAUUGUCACUCAUGUUACCAGUUGCAUCUCUCAGUGUAGAGGGCGUUUUGUGCUAUGAGGAUUGUAAACAAUUGGUUACUCAAUCAAAUGGAAGAUCAAAGGACAUAUGAUUGUUGGAUUGCCUAUAUUGAGAAAGACAUUCUCGAAGGUAUCAAACAUGAUGUAACUAAGCAACGAUUUCAUAAUAUAAAAACUCGUCCAUGGCAAAUAUCAUUGUAACUAAUGGAUAUUAUCAAUCAAUGCUGAUUUGUUGUCCUAGAAUGGGCUUCAGUUUUAUUUUUCCUUAUAUAGUUAAAAUAUUGUUAGUAUAGAUAUGUGUCUUUGCAGGUUCGAGGAUGACCCCUUUAAUUUUAACAGGUUCGAGGAUGAUCGCUUGCUCAAGAAACAAUGACUGCAGAACAUUGGAGUUACAGGUGAGUGUUGAGAAGUAAUGUACUUGAAUGGAUGACCAUAGGCUGCAUUUUGCAGUUAGUAUUUGGCAUGAUAUGUCGUUUUGUAUCGGAAAAUUAUAGAGCUAUACAGUUGAACUGAAUUUCAAUUGAAUUUGUGCGUUUUACGUUGAUUAGUUUGCUCACGAUCUUCAUUCAACACUUGUAGAGAUGGCAAAGGAUCAUUCUGAAAUCUUUUGUCUCUUUAUUUCAGUUGCUAAUUUGGCAAAAUGAUGCACCAAGCCAAGGUUUGAACGAACUGAAUCCUUUGGUUAUCUAAUUUAUAUGCUGAAAUGAUGUACCAAACCAAACUGUAUAUUCUAAUUGGUGAGGUAACAUAAUAUGUCCUCCUUGUCAAUGAUAGCAUUCAACAUUCAAAUUCUCUAACAAGUUUGUGACAACCCAUUCUGACUUUAUCAAAUUUUAAUUUCGAAAGGUGAGAAUUGACUAAAAUGCCCCUGUUGGGUUCAGCUUAUACACGGACUUUUGAGCCAGUGCUUAAUUUGUCUCAUUUCUUAGUAUAUCGGGAUAGUAAUCGACGUUAUAAAUGCAUGAGUGCAAACUAGAUCCAAAUUGGAUUUGUAACAAAGAAACUACACUCGUUUAAUAAACGGGUAAAUAUGUACACAAAAUUGUAUGAAAUUCAUAUUUCUAGGUAAUCAAAACCUAAUAAUUUCACAAACCAAGUUUGGAAUAAAAAAAAAAAUUCUAAGGAAAAGAGAUUAAAAAUGGAAACUUUGAAUAUUAUUAAAAAAAAUGACAACUAACGAAAAGUUCAAAAAAAAUUCUCACUUAAUGAAAAACUCUUUUUAAAGGUAUAGUGAAUAGUGUCAAUUAAAUGUAAAAAUGUAAUUUUUCGUAAAAAAUAAACAGUACCUGAGUGUUUUGUUAAAACUCCCUUAAAAAAAACCCAACAAUUUUGUUCAAGAAAAAUAGAAAGAUAGGAAAAAAUCUUUACCUUCCAGAACAUUGAAGUGUGUUUGGAUCAAAUGAGAGAAUCAAAUUGUUAAAUUCAAAUAUCUAAGCGGAUCUGUGUGAAUUUUGUAAGUUAUUUACAAGUUGAGGUCGGUGCCGUUUCUUAUUGUUGGCGAAGUGAAUUUUGUAAGGGGAGGAGUCGCAGAAGGUGGGAUAGAGACGACGGAGGGGGACCUGGGUUCUCUGUGGAGGGAGGUAUGGAGCCGUUGCUGAUCUCGGUCUUCUUGGAUUCGGGUUCGUUGGGGAGUUUGGGUGUGGUGGGUGGGUGAAAAUGGAGGGUUUGAUUUCUGUGAAGACGUUGGUUCUGGAUGUGGUGGGUGGGUGAAAAUGGCGGUUUGGGGAGUUUGGGAGUGGGUUGUCGGGAGGAGAAGUGGGUGUGGGAUAUAGUUGGCCGGAGAAGAUAGAGGCGACAAGGUGGGUACUUUGAAGAAGAUGGAGGUGGGUGGGACGCGGAGGAGAGAAGAGGGGGAGAUCGAACUCUUCUUAUCGGAGGAAGACGAUUGGGCCCAGAUUUCUAAAUUUUUUAUUAUUUUUAUUAUUAUUCUAAUUUUUUUAAAUAUCCAUGUGGACAUAUUGACUCGUAGCCUUAUGUCAUUGUUCAUGCAGGUGUCAUGUCAUAAAUUAACGGUUAAUUUAACAGUAAUCCUAACGGAUAUAUGAAAAUAUUCUACAAUUAUGACUUCAUGUAUCACUUUGGGAUAAAAAAAAUUUGAUGUACUAAAUGUUGAAAACUAAGAAACGUAAAUUGAGAUUAACCCUUAAAUUAAUGUAAAAUAUCGUUUUAUGAGUGAGUCACGAGAGCAAAUCCCUCGUGAGAAUGUGUGCGUUGAAUGUAUUGAGAUAUGCAAAAAGUAAAAUUAUAGCAGUUGCAUUGUUAAUUUGAUGCAUUGAGUUUACUUAUGCAGUUUUAGUUUGGCUAAAAAAUAUUAUUUUGAAGGAUAAAAAUUAGCAAAAAUGUGUUAAAAGUAAAUAAAAAAAAUUGUUGAUAUCACCACUAUUUUAAAAUCAUUCAUUCAAUUUGCAUGACUAAACGAUCUCAAAAUAAAUAAAUUUUACUUUACUUAGACUUGUUUCCUUACUUUACUUUUGGAAAAGACCGCACUUUCACUUUAGUGUGCUUUUGGCAAACGAUACUUUAACGUGUUUUGUCUUUAAUGAGACUAGUUGUUUGAUCGAAAACAAAAGAAUAAAUUUUAGAGAUAUUUUUACACAAUAAUAAAAAAAAUGCGCAACUCUAAUUGCGAUGCUUCUACCGUGAAAUGAAGUUGUAAUGCCGUGUGAGAGUGAGGAUGGCUCGAGCCAUGUAUUGUCAUUUGAAAAUUUGGAGUUCGUAAGCAAUGCAUCUAUUACUUUUUCACUUUAUCUGUGACAUCCCACAUCGCUUAAAUAUAUAUUUUCAUCUCUACCUAGUACGAGGCAUUUUGGGAACUCACUCGGAAUCCGAAGUUAAGCGAGUAGCACACGAGAGCAUUCCCAUGAUGGGUGACCCAUUGGGAAGUUGCUCGUGAGGUCCCAAAAACAAAACCGUGAGGGAAUGGUAAGCCCAAAGCGGACAAUAUCGUGCUACGGUGGUGGAGCGGGGCCAGGAAGUGAUCCGUCCCGAGCCGGAAUGUGACAAAUGGUAUCAGAGCCAAUCCCUACCCAGAAGUGUGCCGACGAGGACGUCGGGCCCCUAAGGGGGUGGAUUGUGACAUCCCAUCGCUCAGGAGAGUGAUCCUUAAAUGUAUAUUCUCAUACCUAAUAGCAUGAGGCAUUUUGGAAGCUUACUGGUUUUAGGUUCUAUCGGAACUUCGAAGUUAAGCGAGUAGCGCGCGAGAGCAAUCACAUGAUGGGUGACCCACUGAGAAAUUGCUCGUGAGUUUCCAAAAACAAAACCGUGAGGGAAUGGUAAGCCCAAAAUUGACAAUAUCGUGCUACGAUGGUAGAGCGGACUUGAGAAGUGAUUCACCCUGGACCGGGAUGUGACAUUAUCUAUUUCUUAUUAAAGAGAAUACAAAAUGACAAAACUGAUCUUGUUGGGUUUAAUGAAAUUUUACAUAGAAGUUUGAGCCAGUACUUAAUUCGUCUCAUUUUUUUAUUGUAUUUAGAUAUUAUUUGUCAUUGUAUGAACGCAUAAACACAAACUAGAUCCAAAUCAAACUUGUAACGAUUUAAAGUAUUGGCUUUUAAAAAUUUGUCCCGUAGUGAGAUUUUUCUUCCGUUAGAUCAGGCUUUUGCUUUACGGAAAGUCACCCCACCUAUCAAUUGCACUAUGCUUUUUCUCUCUUUCUCUCAGUGUUCUCCUCCCACUCUGUAACAUCUCUCUCACUCACUCAACCCUCUCUUUCUCCCUCUCAAACUCUCCCGUCCUCUCUUCUCUCUGUAACGCAGCGAAAGUCACCAAACCUCGACGAAUCAACGCUCAAACCACCACCACGUCCACCCUCUUGACCUCGCGAGCUCGAACCCGAACUCCGUUUCGUAGGAAACAGAGCCUAGAGGCUCUAGCUCGAAGCUCCGACGAGAAAGAAACUUCCCGACGAAGUUCCCGACACUUUUCCGACCACUCCAUACCGUUUUCGAAGAGUUGGAAGCCACCACACAACUCCCUAACAUCCAUGGGUCAAGUUUGAGGUAAUCCCCAACUCAAAAACCCACGGUUUCGAAGCUUUGGGUUUUUGGGCGAGACUUUCAGGCCAAUUUCAGUACAUUUACGUCUGCUUUUUGGAGUUCCAAGAGGUAUAAACUUGUUCCUUGUGCUUCAUUUCCAUAUAAAGAACGUAAAAAAUGGUUGAGAAAUGAGCAAGUUAUGGCCCUUUGAAAUUGUCCACAGUUUCCGUCGAUUUCAGGGACCUUCCGGCCUGUUUCUGGCUAAAUGACGGCGAGUUAGCCGUUGCUAUGGGUACCAAUCUGUUCGUCUCAUUCCGAGGCAUCAUUUCCAUUCUGAAUCACUCAAUUUGGUUGAGAUAUGUGGAAGUUAUGAUGAUUUAAAAAUGUCCCAGAAAACCGACGUGAAACUGCAUAAUCCGGUGACCCGCGACCGGAACCUGGUAAAAAGUAAAUGCAAAAAACGCAGUUCUAAAACAACUAAACACAUAAUUGCAUAUCAUUCCUAAAACACAGAGAAAUUUGUGAGAGUGGCCUAAAUAGAAAGAAAUGGAUAUGAAAUGAAGUUCCUUUUGAAACAUUGGUCCUGUGGGGUUUAAAAAGAACACGGGUGUUCUUUCGUCGAGUGCUACCACUCUCAUCAUUAACAUUGUCACUCUAGACAUUAUCACAAUUCUCAACGCAAAGUAAAGCCUUGUAGAAUUCCUUGGAUGUCGUACAUGGUGUAGAUGCUGCCAAGAAACAAAACUGCUUGCGGAUAUGUUAUUUGAACUGGUGGAGCCUUCUUGAAUAGUUGGUAUCGAUUGUUGGACAAUAGCAGGACAAUUCGUUGAACUUCCGAUGGUACUUAGCUACUGAUAUUUUGCCUUGUGUAGGUCCAUGAACUCGUCUUUUUUUUCUUUCCCGGGUCUUAUACUCCGCAUGUGUAAGAUUAUCUUACAUUGCCGGCCCCAAGCCCGGAUAAAGAAGGAGGGGGAGGGCGUUAGGUAGUUGAUAGCCGGUACUCCUAUUUUACGUCGAACCUUAUGAUAAUGAAUCCUGAAUGAAAUUGCUCUAAAGCUAGGUCGUCACUCGUAAGUGGUGCGUUGUGUCCCGAGCACAGUGAUAAGUGAGCAAGGGUCGCUGUAUCUCCACUGGUGCCCGGAUGCAGUGUUAAAUGAGCAAUAGAGCCAUAAUAACUCCUUUUUGAACGACUCCACUCAAAGUUGUUUGGAAGCAUCUGCUUCUAUCAACUUUGACCUUAUUAGACGGGGGAUGGUGAAGAAGCUAGGACAAGAGGGUAGAGUUCAAGCGAGUAGAAUGCGUUUAGGAACGUGGAACAUAGGAACCUUAACGGGAAAAUCUAUGGAAAUAGUGAAAGUUAUGGUGAGGAGAAGGAUAAGUAUUAUGUGCCUACAAGAAACUAUGUGGGUUGGUCUUAAGGCAAAGGAUCUUGAAAACUCAGGUUUUAAACUUUGGUCUUCGGGCAAAUAGAACAAGAAAUGAUGUUAGCAUUAUCGUGGGGUAGGAAAUAGAAUUAUGGCAAUCAAGAUUGUAAUAGGACAAGAACUCAUCAAUGUGAUUAGUGUGUACACACCUCAAGUAAGGUUGGAACGAGUUUGAAGGAGAAAUUUUGGGAAGAUCUUAGAAACUUGGUGCAAUGAAUCACUUAGACGGAGAAUGUAUUUAUAGGAGGAGAUUUAAAUGGACACGUGGGUAAGAGGAUAGGCCAUGGUUUUGGGAAGAGAAAUGAGGAUGAGGAAGUCAUCUUGGAUUUUGCAGUGGCAUACAAUCUCUUCUUAGCCAACACUUUCUUUAAGAAGAGAGAAGAACAUGUGGUAACCUACAAGAAUGAGUUAUCAAAAACACAAAUAGAUUUUCUUCUAACGAGGAAGGGGGAUCAUAUAACUUGUAGAAUUGCAAAGUUAUACCGGGAGAGUGUUUGGCUAAUCAACAUCGCUUGUUGGUGAUGGAUGUACAUAUCAAAAGAGAGAGUAAAAAGAACAAGACCUUGAAGUGUCCAAGGACUAGAAGGUGGAAUCUAAAAAGAGAAAGACAAGUCAUUUUCAAAGAGGAAAUAAUCACCCAAUGCGUGUGGAUAGAGAGGGGGAAUAUGGGCCCACAUAGAUAUUAAAAAUUACAUGUCCUUAGUUCACCCAAAUUGCAUAUCCCACAAACCAGAAGAUCCAAAACUUCAAACAUCAAGAAGCCGAAUUUCAUAUGUUAAUAUAGAAUAAAAUAAAGGAAAUUCUUACCUUCGAAUUAUCAGAGACAGAGGACUGCCACUACUGUUAUUGUGAGACAAAGGAGUGAAAUCAAUCAAUGAUUCAGUGGAACUUCUUCAGGGCAAAUUUUGUAAUUUUUAUUUUUUGGGAAAACAAAUAGUACAAGGAGUGAAAGGAAAAAGAACCUCAAAGGAGGAAGCAUCAAUGAAGCACAUAUGGAUUAAAAAAUUGGUUUUUCCUCCAAAACCCAGAUGGAAAUUCAAUAUUCAGAAGAGAAAAUCACCAAAAGGGAGAAAAAAUGAGGGUUUUUCUUAAUCCCCAAAUGGAGAAAAAGUUUUUUCUAAUAUUUUCUUAGUACCAAGAAUUUCGAGCCCGACCGGCGAGCGAGCAGUGUAAGCCCCCCCGAACCGUACUGCAUUGAAUUGGAGUGGCUGUGACUCGGCGUCAUGGAUCGGACCCACGUCCACCUCCCGAGUUGUAAAACGAGGAGGCCGAGAGCCAGCAGGAGCGCGGAAUGAUCCGACCGUUGAUCAACGAAGAAGAAGAAGAGGUUGAGGAAUAGGUCCACUAGUCGGGCUCGGCGGGGACGGAGUUGAGGAGGAGGGAGCACUGGGAGGCAGGGGUGGAAGGCAGGCCAGGUGAGGAGGAUGAGGGGCUUGGAUUUGGAGGGUUUGAAUUUGGGCGAUGGUGGUGAGGAAGGCGACUAUGAGGAAGACAAUAGGGUUUGGGAUUUUUCUUUUUUAUAAAUUUUUAUUAGCAUUUUUAUAUUUCUAUAUUUUAUUAAUAUUCAUGUCGGCCUAUAUUAACAUGUGGCGUCUAGUUAUUGUUCACAUAAGCGGCAUGUCAUCAGUUAAAAUAGAUUCUAAUGGAAAUCUAAACAGAUAUAUGAAAGUGUAACUUUAAGUACCAGAUUGGAACGAAAAAAACUUAAUGUAUGAAAUGUUGAAAACCAAGAAACUUCUAGAUAGUAAAUUGAGUUUAACCCUUUAAGCACACAAUUUUUUUUUUUUCAUAAAAUAAAAAUACAACCUAGAUUUAAACAGGACAAAAAUAUAUGAUUAUUAAUGUUGUGUUGGGGUGCUUCUUUGGUUUAGGCAUCAGAGCACUGAGCGCGGGACUUACAAAAGCCACCAACAAAGAGAAGCAUUCCAGCCGUAGUCCUUGAUUUCAGAAGGAAAUGGAAAUUAUAAUUGCAAUUGCCUCAAAAGUUGGAGAGUGCUUGGUCACACCAAUAGGAACAGAGUUUGGCUAUUUGAUUAAUUACCAUUCCAACCUGGAAAAUCUUAAGGGUGAGAUAAAAAAGCUUUUUGACAAGAAAGAUGGAGUGCAAGGAUUGGUAGAUGCUGCCCAAAGGAACAGUGAAAGUAUCAAACCUGAUGUUCAGAGUUGGCUAAAGAAUGUGAACAACAUGAUCCAGAAAGUGUUACAUUUUGAGGAUGAAAUUAACAAGAAAAGGCGAUGUAUGAAUCGAUGGAGCUUGAGUCGGAAAGCCUAUAAGAUUACACAACAUGUUCUUCAGCUCCAAAACGAAGGAACAUUUGAAAAUGUGGCCCAUCCUGCACCUCCACGAGGGAUAUGGUCAAAAUUCAAGAAAGGUUUCAAGGACUUUAAGUCCAGAACGGCAUACAUGAAUGAGGUGAUAGAGGGUUUGAAGAGGGAACAAGUACGAAUGAUCGGGAUUUGUGGAAUGGGGGGUGUGGGUAAAACGACAAUGGCGAAAGAAAUCAUCACAAGAUUGGCAAAACUGAACCUGUUUGAUAAUAUUGUAAUGGCAACUGUGUCUCAAAGUCCAAGUAUUAGCAAGAUCCAGUCGGAAAUUGCAGACCAAAUAGGUUUGGAAUUGAAGGAGGAAUCCGAGUCCGGAAGAGCAAUAAAGCUGCAUGGGAAACUCAUGGAAAUAAAGAUCCUGAUUGUAUUAGAUGAUGUCUGGACAUAGCUUGAUUUUGAGGCUAUAGGACUCCCUUCUGGAGAUGCUCACAAGGGGUGCAAAGUUUUGUUGACAUCACGAGAUUGGGAAGUCUGCAACAGGAUGGGAAGUCAACCAAUUAUUGAAGUCCCGACUUUAACAACAGAAGAAUCACAUGACCUCUUUAAAGAAAUGGUAGGUGAAUCCUUCGAUGAGCCUGAUUUACGUUCCAUUGCAAAAGAGGUCGUUUAUGAAUGUGGAGGUUUACCUAUAGUCAGAAUCACAGAGGAAAAUGAAGAAGAGGCGACAAAAUACAUGAUUUUGUUUCUAAAACUGAACACAUUUGAACUAGAAAACCUGCCUCGUCUCACAAGUCUUUGUCCAGAGGGAUUUACAUUUCUAUGGUCAUCCACAAAAAAUAUGUACGUACGAAAAUGUGGAUCAUUGAAGACAUUGGGUGCUGUAAUUCCACAAAGAAAGAAGUUGGAGAAUAACUUGAAGAAGGAUUCAACAAGUCAUGAUUUCAGCACUUCUCCAACACGUUCAUCAAAUUGGUGCCCUGCUGGAUGUGGAUGCGCACCAUAUUCAAGACCAAACGCCCACCGCCCCAUUGAAAUAUUGCCAUGUCCAAUUAACCUGGAGGUAAGCUUUUAAAUCAGGUUCAAUUAACCUCUAUAAGUACAACUUUUAAUUAGUAUUGUAUCAUCUUGUUGAUCGUGUUUAAUUUCCUAGGUUACACCAACUAAUCUUGAGGACUCAAAUGAUGAUGAUAAUCUCGCAAAUCUUCGUGUCCAUGACUGUGCAUCAUUGGAAGUGAUUUUCCAACUAAAGGGGCCGAAGCAUGAAGAAAGUAGUCACUCCGUUGAAGCAUUCAAUAAAUUGAGGUCCUUGCGGUUAGAUAUUUUGCCAAGUUUAACGCGUGUUUGGGAGACGGGUAGUUCACAACCGAUGUUGACAGGAAGCAGCUUCGGAAACUUGAAAUCGCUGCGGGUCUUUGAUUGCGACCAGUUGAAAUACUUGUUUUCAUCGUCCAUUGUCAAACUUCUCGUGAGUAUGGAGGACAUAAAAGUUCAGAAGUGUGAGCAGAUGGAAGAAAUCGUUGCCGCAGAAGAAGAAACUGAUGAAACAAUUACAUUACCUAAAGUGAAGUCCAUCAAGCUUGAAAGUCUGCCAAAACUCAAGUAUUUUUGUGGUGAAGCUUAUACUUUGAAGUUGCCGUCUUUGGAGUUAUUGGAGGUUGAUGACGUGCAAAACUUAAGCCUAUUAGCUCCAAAGCUUAUUGCCACACAUCCCUGAUUGCAAGUAAACACCGCGUUGGGACUGGCUGAAUGGAAGGGGGACCUAAACGCCACUCUUACGGAAUAUUUACAUCACAAGGUAUGCUUUAAUAUAAGGUUUCUAAUUUUCAAUCGCUUAUGCGUGCAUGUUUAAAGAUGUUUUUUUUUUUCAACAUCUCUCUUUUAAAUCUUGAUGUAUACGUGGAAUUUCUGAAGUUUUUACAAAAGACUAUAUAAUAGCAUUAUAUUAAUGUAUAUGUGUGUGUGUAUGCGAGUAUGUGCACACUAAAGUGUAUUUAAAUAUAUAUAUAUAUAUAUAUAUAUAUAUAUAUAUAUAUAUAUAUAUAUAUAAUUUUAGAAAACUCAAUUAUAUCUCAAGAAAACAUCGUCUUUUAUUUCUAAUACAGUACGGAUGAAGAUAACGAAAUCGAUGGCAAGGAUGACGAUGACAAAAUCGACGGCAAGGAUGAAGAUGACGAAACCAACAGGGAGGACGAACACAGUUGAUUGAUCAAGCACAAAGGUUAGCAUGUUUCCAUCUCCAACUUCUUCUAGGUUUAGUAAAAACUUAUGAAAAUUAUAUAUAUAGUACUCAAAAAAGUAUUCUACCAUGUUUUAUAAUAUAUACAUACAUGUAUAGCACUUGAAAAAUUGAACAGUUUGGAUCUAAAACCACAAUCUGCUACCUGAUUCAUUUUUUCGAGGUACCUAAUAGCAGUUAAGGUGUGAGGAAGAAGCUUUUUAGAUUACCAACUGCCUCAAGAGAAACCUUUAUCAGAAACACAUAUACAAUAAACAUAACCGUAGUGCUAAGUGGCCUAAAAAUUAAUUUAUCCUUAAACCGCUAUUUUUGGAAACACAUAUACAAUAAGCAUAACCGUUUGAUUUCUAAUAUUCUCCAAUGCAUGCAGGAAAAGAGUUUAAAGAACGUUGUGGCUCCAGCAAUUCGUUUACCAUAUCAUAUGCACAAACCAAUAAAAGGACAUUUGUUGCACCAGAAUUUCAUUCCAAAAAUACUAUUUAUGUUGCUUAUUUUAUGUACCAUAAAUUUCGAUUGCGAUUAUUACUGUUUGUUUCUAAAUUCGCAUCAUUAGUAUUUGCUUAUUUGUGCUCGAGGUUGAUUAUACACGUGUAAGCUGAAUCACAUGUUUGUAGAAUGGACAAGCUGAAUAAAAUCUGUUUGCCCCCUAAAUGUAAUGGAAAUCAUAUGUAUCUAGGCAUGCUUAAUAUUUGAUAAAGAAAAACAUUUCUCAAAUAAAUGUCCACUCACACCUCCGGCAAGCUCGCCCUUGAGGAGCCUUGUCUACCAAAUAGGUAAACAUCUACUGGACAGCAGGCGAUUCAAAACCAUAGCAAACUGCUGAAUACAACUAGAGUAAACAAGGAAUCAGGCUAUGCAAUUGCCAUCAUCAUAACAUGAUUUUGGCCCCCAUCUUCUAAUUUCCUACCACAUUUUCACAUUCUUUCCAUGAAUUUUAUGAUUCCUAUGCAACAGAGUUCAUUCAUCGCCUAUUCACAACAAUACAAGGUUCUACAGAGUUCAAUCCCACACCAUGUUAUAGACAUGCUUCAACUAUCAACCGGGAACGUAAUCGUUAGGGGUUUCAACAAUUUCACAGAUACAACAAUUACUAUAAGUCUCAUCUCCAACAUUCAUACAGAAAAUCGAAUAAAAUUCGAAAUCAAGAAUCAAACCCAAAACUGAAAGUUGAAAAUUUGGAAAAAGAACUUACAUUGGAGAACAGCCCACGAGAAGAGUAUCAUUUCUACCUCUUGGGUCGAGGUCCAAUUCCCGCGAUAUUGGCCGGAAACCCCUGGGUCACCGUUUCUUAGAUUUGAAGUUGAGGAAAAUCGCCUACGAAAUUAUAGAAACUAACUUGGGGGAUUGGAUAAGGGACGGCAAGAGCAUUCUGGAUGUGUAGUUUGAGAGCUUUUGGUGACCAGUGGACGACAGAGCUGUUGCGUCGGCACUCGGCAGUCUUCGGCUUGCUGUUAAAUGGGGCUCCAGGAGUCGCAGCGCAAAAGAGAAGGAGGAGAGAGGAUACGGGAGGAGGAGAGAAAAUGGGUUUCUCCCACCUUUUACAUUAAUUCUUUUCC